ACUAAGCGUACACGGUGGAUGCCCUGGCAGUCAGAGGCGAUGAAGGACGUGCUAAUCUGCGAAAAGCGUCGGUAAGGUGAUAUGAACCGUUAUAACCGGCGAUGUCCGAAUGGGGAAACCCAGUGCAAUUCGUUGCACUAUCGUUAACUGAAUACAUAGGUUAACGAGGCGAACCGGGGGAACUGAAACAUCUAAGUACCCCGAGGAAAAGAAAUCAACCGAGAUUCCCCCAGUAGCGGCGAGCGAACGGGGAGCAGCCCAGAGUCUGAAUCAGCUUGUGUGUUAGUGGAACGGUCUGGAAAGUCCGACGGUACAGGGUGAUAGUCCCGUACACCAAAAUGCACAGGUUGUGAACUCGAAGAGUAGGGCGGGACACGUGGUAUCCUGUCUGAAUAUGGGGGGACCAUCCUCCAAGGCUAAAUACUCCUGACUGACCGAUAGUGAACCAGUACCGUGAGGGAAAGGCGAAAAGAACCCCGGCGAGGGGAGUGAAAAAGAACCUGAAACCGUGUACGUACAAGCAGUGGGAGCACCUUCGGGUGUGACUGCGUACCUUUUGUAUAAUGGGUCAGCGACUUAUAUUCUGUAGCAAGGUUAACCGUAUAGGGGAGCCGCAGGGAAACCGAGUCUUAACUGGGCGUUAAGUUGCAGGGUAUAGACCCGAAACCCGGUGAUCUAGCCAUGGGCAGGUUGAAGGUUGGGUAACACUAACUGGAGGACCGAACCGACUAAUGUUGAAAAAUUAGCGGAUGACUUGUGGCUGGGGGUGAAAGGCCAAUCAAACCGGGAGAUAGCUGGUUCUCCCCGAAAGCUAUUUAGGUAGCGCCUCGUGAACUCAUCUUCGGGGGUAGAGCACUGUUUCGGCUAGGGGGUCAUCCCGACUUACCAACCCGAUGCAAACUACGAAUACCGAAGAAUGUUAUCACGGGAGACACACGGCGGGUGCUAACGUCCGUCGUGAAGAGGGAAACAACCCAGACCGCCAGCUAAGGUCCCAAAGUCAUGGUUAAGUGGGAAACGAUGUGGGAAGGCACAGACAGCCAGGAUGUUGGCUUAGAAGCAGCCAUCAUUUAAAGAAAGCGUAAUAGCUCACUGGUCGAGUCGGCCUGCGCGGAAGAUGUAACGGGGCUAAACCAUGCACCGAAGCUGCGGCAGCGACACUAUGUGUUGUUGGGUAGGGGAGCGUUCUGUAAGCCUGCGAAGGUGUGCUGUGAGGCAUGCUGGAGGUAUCAGAAGUGCGAAUGCUGACAUAAGUAACGAUAAAGCGGGUGAAAAGCCCGCUCGCCGGAAGACCAAGGGUUCCUGUCCAACGUUAAUCGGGGCAGGGUGAGUCGACCCCUAAGGCGAGGCCGAAAGGCGUAGUCGAUGGGAAACAGGUUAAUAUUCCUGUACUUGGUGUUACUGCGAAGGGGGGACGGAGAAGGCUAUGUUAGCCGGGCGACGGUUGUCCCGGUUUAAGCAUGUAGGCUGGUUAUCCAGGCAAAUCCGGAUAAUCAAGGCUGAGGUGUGAUGACGAGGCACUACGGUGCUGAAGUAACAAAUGCCCUGCUUCCAGGAAAAGCCUCUAAGCAUCAGGUAACAUCAAAUCGUACCCCAAACCGACACAGGUGGUCAGGUAGAGAAUACCAAGGCGCUUGAGAGAACUCGGGUGAAGGAACUAGGCAAAAUGGUGCCGUAACUUCGGGAGAAGGCACGCUGGUGUGUAGGUGAAGCCCCUGCGGGUGGAGCUGAGACCAGUCGAAGAUACCAGCUGGCUGCAACUGUUUAUUAAAAACACAGCACUGUGCAAACACGAAAGUGGACGUAUACGGUGUGACGCCUGCCCGGUGCCGGAAGGUUAAUUGAUGGGGUUAUCCGUAAGGAGAAGCUCUUGAUCGAAGCCCCGGUAAACGGCGGCCGUAACUAUAACGGUCCUAAGGUAGCGAAAUUCCUUGUCGGGUAAGUUCCGACCUGCACGAAUGGCGUAAUGAUGGCCAGGCUGUCUCCACCCGAGACUCAGUGAAAUUGAACUCGCUGUGAAGAUGCAGUGUACCCGCGGCAAGACGGAAAGACCCCGUGAACCUUUACUAUAGCUUGACACUGAACAUUGAGCCUUGAUGUGUAGGAUAGGUGGGAGGCUUUGAAGCGUGGACGCCAGUCUGCGUGGAGCCAACCUUGAAAUACCACCCUUUAAUGUUUGAUGUUCUAACGUUGGCCCCUGACCGGGGUUGCGGACAGUGUCUGGUGGGUAGUUUGACUGGGGCGGUCUCCUCCCAAAGCGUAACGGAGGAGCACGAAGGUUAGCUAAUCCUGGUCGGACAUCAGGAGGUUAGUGCAAUGGCAUAAGCUAGCUUGACUGCGAGCGUGACGGCGCGAGCAGGUGCGAAAGCAGGUCAUAGUGAUCCGGUGGUUCUGAAUGGAAGGGCCAUCGCUCAACGGAUAAAAGGUACUCCGGGGAUAACAGGCUGAUACCGCCCAAGAGUUCAUAUCGACGGCGGUGUUUGGCACCUCGAUGUCGGCUCAUCACAUCCUGGGGCUGAAGUAGGUCCCAAGGGUAUGGCUGUUCGCCAUUUAAAGUGGUACGCGAGCUGGGUUUAGAACGUCGUGAGACAGUUCGGUCCCUAUCUGCCGUGGGCGCUGGAGAAUUGAGGGGGGCUGCUCCUAGUACGAGAGGACCGGAGUGGACGCAUCACUGGUGUUCGGGUUGUCAUGCCAAUGGCACUGCCCGGUAGCUAAAUGCGGAAGAGAUAAGUGCUGAAAGCAUCUAAGCACGAAACUUGCCCCGAGAUGAGUUCUCCCUGAGACUUUAAGUCUCCUGAAGGAACGUUGAAGACGACGACGUUGAUAGGCCGGGUGUGUAAGCGCAGCGAUGCGUUGAGCUAACCGGUACUAAUGAACCGUGAGGCUUAACC
This 2891-nucleotide ribosomal RNA is filed under the name Klebsiella pneumoniae. RNAcentral describes it as "bacterial LSU rRNA". It matches the Rfam family "Bacterial large subunit ribosomal RNA". Lineage: Bacteria; Pseudomonadati; Pseudomonadota; Gammaproteobacteria; Enterobacterales; Enterobacteriaceae. The record is from RNAcentral.